Long non-coding RNA from Rana temporaria (common frog), 439 nucleotides. RefSeq lists it as uncharacterized. The transcript is spliced from 3 exons. Lineage: Eukaryota; Metazoa; Chordata; Amphibia; Anura; Ranidae. The record is from RefSeq and is a predicted model, not a curated record.
CACCUGGACAUGCACACAUAUAUAACAGACAACGUGAACUCAUCAUGUCAGUCUGUGAUCCCUUUUCACCUGUGCAGGAGUGGAGCUAUCACACACAGGGUGCUUUCUAUGGCUGUCGCUCUGCUGGGUCUCCCUCCCCCCGCCCAGCCCGGACCCCAUUGGACCCUCCCCUUGUGCUUGUGGGCCCCUGCAGGCUGUCUGGUUUGGCGCCUUGGCGGUACCAUUUGGGGGUCUGCCCUCCUUGUGAAAAUGUCCAUCCAGGGGUCCUGCUGUGGAUUUAAGUCAACUUUGGUCUAGACACAAUUAAGUUUACACGCUUAGCACCUCAACUUCCUCCAAAGAAGACCCCAAUAUGGGUUGAAACACGUCAGGAUUUACGUGACUUGCAUGUUAACCAUUCAUGUUAAUUGAUGUCAUGUAUUUUGGUGCAUACUCCUUG